RNAcentral lists this ribosomal RNA (465 nucleotides) under uncultured Klebsiella sp. Its description in RNAcentral is "bacterial SSU rRNA". It matches the Rfam family "Bacterial small subunit ribosomal RNA", at positions 338 to 795 of the family's 1533-position model. Lineage: Bacteria; Pseudomonadati; Pseudomonadota; Gammaproteobacteria; Enterobacterales; Enterobacteriaceae. The record is from RNAcentral.
CCUACGGGAGGCUGCAGUGGGGAAUAUUGCACAAUGGGCGCAGGCCUGAUGCAGCCAUGCCGCGUGUGUGAAGAAGGCCUUCGGGUUGUAAAGCACUUUCAGCGGGGAGGAAGGCGUUAAGGUUAAUAACCUUGGCGAUUGACGUUACCCGCAGAAGAAGCACCGGCUAACUCCGUGCCAGCAGCCGCGGUAAUACGGAGGGUGCAAGCGUUAAUCGGAAUUACUGGGCGUAAAGCGCACGCAGGCGGUCUGUCAAGUCGGAUGUGAAAUCCCCGGGCUCAACCUGGGAACUGCAUUCGAAACUGGCAGGCUAGAGUCUUGUAGAGGGGGGUAGAAUUCCAGGUGUAGCGGUGAAAUGCGUAGAGAUCUGGAGGAAUACCGGUGGCGAAGGCGGCCCCCUGGACAAAGACUGACGCUCAGGUGCGAAAGCGUGGGGAGCAAACAGGAUUAGAUACCCGUGUAGUC